This 1336-nucleotide long non-coding RNA is filed under the name Glycine max (soybean). RNAcentral describes it as "long non-coding RNA (GMAX_LNC001446)". The record is from RNAcentral. Lineage: Eukaryota; Viridiplantae; Streptophyta; Magnoliopsida; Fabales; Fabaceae.
UUCAAGUUCAGUUCAUACUUUUAUUAUUAUUGGUGGCCAUUUCUUCUGUGCCCUCUUCUUCCUGUGCCAGCCAGGUCAUGUACGCGACUCUCGUCGCGAAAAAUAAAACCUGAGAAAUCGAGAAGGGUUUGUGUAAGGCUGCAUACAUGUUUGUUGUAAUAUGGGAAAACAGAGAAGAGGUUGUUACAGUGGAUUGAGGUAAGAGGAGAAAGUCUCUCCAUAUUGAUUUGAAUUGUUAUGGAUAUUCAGAGUUGUGAAAUAAAAAUGGCUGAGAAAGAGUAGGUUGCAGAGAAAUGUGUAUGUAUAGGGAUGAAUUUGGAGACCAUAAUUCAGGGUUGCAUAGACAGUAGUGACACUUUCUGUUGCUGCUGCUGCUGCAUGUUUGUGGAGUUUAUUGUUAUUGUGUCUCUUAUAUCAUACUUUUUUUUUUGUUGCUUUAAUUUUGUUUCUUUAUAGUAUAAUUUAUGAACAUUUUACAUGUAUUGAUUUUCUGAAUUGAGGUAAUUCCUUUCUCGUAUCAGUGUCCCAAAAUGUGUUCCUCUGCCAUGAGAAUGUUGUGUGCUUUUGCUUCACUUACCAAAUCUCUCUGCAUUUAAGUGAUGUGACUCCAUGCUAAUGACAUAAACUUCUUUUCUCAUAUGAUCAAUUAUAUGUUAGUUUCAACUUCGAUAGAGACCUCCAAACCCCCAUAUCUUUUUUUGGAUUUUAAAUAUGGUUUUAGCCAUAACCACUGGCUUAGCAAAACAAUAUUUUCAAUGAUAAUUCCUUUACAACAUACUACGUGGAGGAGGGGUUAUGGAAUUAGUAAGAUGUUGCUUUGAAUAUUUUAUUUUAAGAACUUAAUAAUUUAAGCCGGAGUUAAGCAUCUAAUUAUGGUUGUUAUCCUCAAUCUUCUAUCUAGGUCACCUCCAUUAUCUAUAGUUUAGAGGACCCAAUUCAGGUCAUGGUGGUGGGACCUGAAUAGCCAUCCCAAGAAUCAUUAAAGAUUUCAUUUAUUUAAUUUUGUGUGAAGCCUUCUUUUUCACUUGAUUAGCAGUAUGUUUAAGAUUGCCCCCCAUGUGCACCCUUCGUCACAAUAAUUCAGAUUUGAAUUCAUAUCUGUUUAAUUAAUGCACACUUUCCCCCCUAUGGAAUUGUGAACAUAAACACUGUUAAGCUUGUGGAAAGGAAAGCCCGUUCAGUUACAAGUUUCCUUCGCAUUGUGCCUCGUCAAGCUAACUUUCAAAGUUGCUUUUCCCUCGUGUUUGAACACACUUCUUUAGUUUCUUGUUACCAUAUUGGCUCAACCAAAACUUACUUUCGGCCUUAAACAACACAAGUUGCUUUUUUAUUAUUC